AGAAACCGACCUGGCUCACGCCGGUCUGAACUCAAAUCAUGUAAGGAUUUAAAGGUCGAACAGACCUUCCUUUAUAACUGCUGCAUUAUAAGGAACCCUUAAUUCAACAUCGAGGUCGCAAUCCUUCUUGUCGAUAUGGACUCUCAAAGAACAUUACGCUGUUAUCCCUAAAGUAACUUAAUCUUAUGAUCUCUAAAAGAGGAUCAUUCAUCUUCCAUAUAUUUAUGUUAUUAAUUAACUUAAGAACAGUUACUCAUUAUAUUUCCGUCGCCCCAACGCAACAAAUAUUACCUAAAAUCAAGUUAUACUAACAGUUUAUAAUAUAAGUAAUUUAUUGUAAAGCUUUAUAGGGUCUUAUCGUCCCCUUAAUUUAUUUAAGCCUUUUCACUUAAAAGUUAAAUUCAAUGAAUUGCAAUUGAGACAGUCCGCUUUUUGUCCAACCAUUCAUACAAGCCUUCAAUUAGAAGACUAAUGAUUAUGCUACCUUCGCACGGUCAAUAUACCGCGGCCCUUUAAAAUAAAUCAGUGGGCAGGCCAGACUUUACAUACCAAUCAUAUAGACAUGUUUUUGAUAAACAGGCAAAAGCAUUAUUUGCCGAGUUCCUUAAUUACAUCUUUUAUAAUAUAAAAAAUUAUUUCUCAUUUUAACUUUUAUCAUAUUACAACAUAUUUCUACUAAUAAAAUCAUUAUUACUUUUAACAUUAAAUUAAUUAAAAAAGGUGGAUAAUUAUUAUUAAAUUUUUAAUUAUACAAAUAUUUGUCAACGACUCUACAUUAACUAGAACGCUUUAUCAAUAUGGCUGUUUUUAAGCCUAAUUCAAUAAUAUCUAAAUUAUUUUUAUUAUAAUACACCUAUUAUUAGAAUAAGAAGCUUUUCCCUCCUACUCUUUACUAUUUCAAAGCUUUUAACCUCAAAAUAACUAAAUUCAAUUUAAUUCUCCACCAACCAGAUAUGAAAAAUCGACUAGCAUUUCACUACUAAAAUAAAUUUUAUAAUCUCAUUAACACGAGAACUAUAUAUUUAUAUUAACUCUUUUUCUUUCGGGACUACUUACCAUAGCAAGGUUAUUUUGACUCUUCCCUAAUACACAAGGUACAAGCAUUUAACUUUACUUUACACCAAUUAAAUUUUCAACUUAUUUCAUCUUUCCUUUACAGUACUUUAUUCUAUAGCUCUUUUUGGUUUUUUUUCGAUUCAUUCUACUAAAACAAUAAUAUUUCAAAAAUAUUUUUAUUACUUUUAGGAUUAUCCAACAAUAAUAACAUAUAUUAACAAGACUUAAUUUUCAAGAUACAUUGAUUUGCACAACGAACUCCUCAACGUAAGUGAGAUGCUUAACUAUUCAAGCUCUAUCUUGAAUUUCUAGGUACACUUUCCAGUAC
RNAcentral lists this ribosomal RNA (1384 nucleotides) under Penaeus setiferus (white shrimp). Its description in RNAcentral is "partial 16S ribosomal RNA". The record is from RNAcentral. Lineage: Eukaryota; Metazoa; Arthropoda; Malacostraca; Decapoda; Penaeidae.